RNAcentral lists this ribosomal RNA (253 nucleotides) under uncultured bacterium. Its description in RNAcentral is "partial 16S ribosomal RNA". It matches the Rfam family "Bacterial small subunit ribosomal RNA", at positions 524 to 776 of the family's 1533-position model. The record is from RNAcentral.
UACGGGGGGGGCAAGCGUUGUUCGGAAUUACUGGGCGUAAAGGGCUCGUAGGUGGCCAACUAAGUCAGACGUGAAAUCCCCAGGCUCAACUUGGGAACUGCGUCUGAUACUGGAUGGCUUGAAUUCGGGAGAGGGAUGCAGAAUUCCAGGUGUAGCGGUGAAAUGCGUAGAUAUCUGGAGGAACACCGGUGGCGAAGGCGGCAUCCUGGACCAACACUGACGCUGAGGAGCGAAAGCCAGGGGAGCAAACGGG